GGGGUUAUGGCUCAGCGGUAGAGCACUUGCCUAGUAUGCGUGAGGCACUGGGUUCGAUUCUCAGCAGCACAU
Molecule: transfer RNA, 72 nt
Filed under: Ictidomys tridecemlineatus (thirteen-lined ground squirrel)
Lineage: Eukaryota; Metazoa; Chordata; Mammalia; Rodentia; Sciuridae
Description: Spermophilus tridecemlineatus (thirteen-lined ground squirrel) tRNA
Rfam family: tRNA
About the family: Transfer RNA (tRNA) molecules are approximately 80 nucleotides in length. Their secondary structure includes four short double-helical elements and three loops (D, anti-codon, and T loops).
Source: Rfam by way of RNAcentral